Molecule: long non-coding RNA, 337 nt
Organism: Diachasma alloeum
Lineage: Eukaryota; Metazoa; Arthropoda; Insecta; Hymenoptera; Braconidae
Exons: 3
Source: RefSeq, a predicted model, not a curated record
CAAUUGUCUGUGUCUUCAGAUAAAAAAAUCUCUCAUCAUGAAAUUCCUUUCUAUCUUCGUAGUAAUUGCUAUGGUCCUGGCGGCCGUUAGUGGUCAACGCUGCAGGGGACGCAGAGUCGCGUGUACCAACGACAGACAGUGCUGUUCGGGUCUCUGCCGCAGGGGACGUGGAUGCGCCUAAGGAGAUACCGGAUAGAUGACUUCGAUAUCGCAAAACUACUUGGAAACAGCAUUUCUCAAGGCUCUUGUUUAGUGCCAACCGUAUUAUUAUGAUCUACAAGGGUUCUUUAUUGAUUUGUAAUUGAUGGAUACCCGGAAAUACAAAUAUUCAGGCAUA